GACGAACGCUGGCGGCGUGCUUAACACAUGCAAGUCGAACGAUGAAGCCUAGCUUGCUAGGUGGAUUAGUGGCGAACGGGUGAGUAAUACGUGAGUAACCUACCUUUAACUCUGGGAUAAGCCUGGGAAACUGGGUCUAAUACCGGAUACGACCAAUCUCCGCAUGGGGUGUUGGUGGAAAGCGUUAUGUAGUGGUUAUAGAUGGGCUCACGGCCUAUCAGCUUGUUGGUGAGGUAACGGCUCACCAAGGCGACGACGGGUAGCCGGCCUGAGAGGGUGACCGGCCACACUGGGACUGAGACACGGCCCAGACUCCUACGGGAGGCAGCAGUGGGGAAUAUUGCACAAUGGGCGCAAGCCUGAUGCAGCGACGCCGCGUGAGGGAUGACGGCCUUCGGGUUGUAAACCUCUGUUAGCAGGGAAGAAGAGAAAUUGACGGUACCUUCAGAGAAAGCGCCGGCUAACUACGUG
RNAcentral lists this ribosomal RNA (471 nucleotides) under uncultured bacterium. RNAcentral's name for it is "partial 16S ribosomal RNA". It matches the Rfam family "Bacterial small subunit ribosomal RNA", at positions 28 to 507 of the family's 1533-position model. The record is from RNAcentral.